UGGGGAAUAUUGCGCAAUGGGCGAAAGCCUGACGCAGCGACGCCGCGUGAGGGACGAAGGCCUUCGGGUUGUAAACCUCUUUCAGCAGGGACGAAGCGAAAGUGACUGUACCUGCAGAAGAAGCACCGGCUAACUACGUGCCAGCAGCCGCGGUAAUACGUAGGGUGCGAGCGUUGUCCGGAAUUAUUGGGCGUAAAGAGCUCGUAGGCGGUCUGUCACGUCGGAUGUGAAAACUCGGGGCUCAACCCCGAGCCUGCAUUCGAUACGGGCAGACUAGAGUUCGGUAGGGGAGACUGGAAUUCCUGGUGUAGCGGUGAAAUGCGCAGAUAUCAGGAGGAACACCGGUGGCGAAGGCGGGUCUCUGGGCCGAUACUGACGCUGAGGAGCGAAAGCGUGGGGAGCGAACAGGAUUAGAUACCCCCGUAGUCC
RNAcentral lists this ribosomal RNA (429 nucleotides) under uncultured bacterium. RNAcentral describes it as "bacterial SSU rRNA". It matches the Rfam family "Bacterial small subunit ribosomal RNA", at positions 355 to 796 of the family's 1533-position model. The record is from RNAcentral.